UAGAGUUUGAUCCUGGCUCAGGUCGAACGCUGGCGGCGUGCCUAAUACAUGCAAGUCGAACGAACUCUGGUAUUGACUGGUGCUUGCAUCAUGAUUUACAUUUGUGUGAGUGGCGAACUGGUGAGUAACACGUGGGAAACCUGCCCAGAAGCGGGGGAUAACACCUGGAAACAGAUGCUAAUACCGCAUAACAACUUGGACCGCAUGGUCCGAGCUUGAAAGAUGGCUUCGGCUAUCACUUUUGGAUGGUCCCGCGGCGUAUUAGCUAGAUGGUGGGGUAACGGCUCACCAUGGCAAUGAUACGUAGCCGACCUGAGAGGGUAAUCGGCCACAUUGGGACUGAGACACGGCCCAAACUCCUACGGGAGGCAGCAGUAGGGAAUCUUCCACAAUGGACGAAAGUCUGAUGGAGCAACGCCGCGUGAGUGAAGAAGGGUUUCGGCUCGUAAAACUCUGUUGUUAAAGAAGAACAUAUCUGAGAGUAACUGUUCAGGUAUUGACGGUAUUUAACCAGAAAGCCACGGCUAACUACGUGCCAGCAGCCGCGGUAAUACGUAGGUGGCAAGCGUUGUCCGGAUUUAUUGGGCGUAAAGCGAGCGCAGGCGGUUUUUUAAGUCUGAUGUGAAAGCCUUCGGCUCAACCGAAGAAGUGCAUCGGAAACUGGGAAACUUGAGUGCAGAAGAGGACAGUGGAACUCCAUGUGUAGCGGUGAAAUGCGUAGAUAUAUGGAAGAACACCAGUGGCGAAGGCGGCUGUCUGGUCUGUAACUGACGCUGAGGCUCGAAAGUAUGGGUAGCAAA
This 800-nucleotide ribosomal RNA is filed under the name uncultured bacterium. RNAcentral's name for it is "bacterial SSU rRNA". It matches the Rfam family "Bacterial small subunit ribosomal RNA", at positions 1 to 772 of the family's 1533-position model. The record is from RNAcentral.